GACGAACGCUGGCGGCGUGCUUAACACAUGCAAGUCGAACGGAAAGGCCCUGCUUUUGUGGGGUGCUCGAGUGGCGAACGGGUGAGUAACACGUGAGUAACCUGCCCUUGACUUUGGGAUAACUUCAGGAAACUGGGGCUAAUACCGGAUAGGAGCUCCUGCUGCAUGGUGGGGGUUGGAAAGUUUCGGCGGUUGGGGAUGGACUCGCGGCUUAUCGGCUUGUUGGUGGGGUAGUGGCUUACCAAGGCUUUGACGGGUAGCCGGCCUGAGAGGGUGACCGGCCACAUUGGGACUGAGAUACGGCCCAGACGCCUACGGGAGGCAGCAGUGGGGAAUAUUGCACAAUGGGCGGAAGCCUGAUGCAGCAACGCCGCGUGCGGGAUGACGGCCUUCGGGUUGUAAACCGCUUUCGCCUGUGACGAAGCGUGAGUGACGGUAAUGGGUAAAGAAGCACCGGCUAACUACGUG
This 468-nucleotide ribosomal RNA is filed under the name uncultured bacterium. RNAcentral's name for it is "partial 16S ribosomal RNA". It matches the Rfam family "Bacterial small subunit ribosomal RNA", at positions 28 to 507 of the family's 1533-position model. The record is from RNAcentral.